GCCCGGGUGGUCUAAUGGGUAAGCAUCUCUGAUUCGUUCUUUACUGAGAGCUUGUCCACUAACUCCCGCAAUAGUAUGAUUCUCGCUUAGGGUGCGAGAGGUUCCGCGUUCGAUCCGCGGCUCGGGCC
RNAcentral lists this transfer RNA (128 nucleotides) under Aspergillus terreus. RNAcentral describes it as "tRNA-Pro". The record is from RNAcentral. Lineage: Eukaryota; Fungi; Ascomycota; Eurotiomycetes; Eurotiales; Aspergillaceae. RNAcentral also lists the same sequence under 1 other name.